RNAcentral lists this ribosomal RNA (408 nucleotides) under uncultured bacterium. RNAcentral's name for it is "bacterial SSU rRNA". It matches the Rfam family "Bacterial small subunit ribosomal RNA", at positions 976 to 1381 of the family's 1533-position model. The record is from RNAcentral.
UAGCCUUGACAUUGAUUGAACGGACCAGAGAUGGACCGGUGCCCUUCGGGGAGCAUGAAAACAGGUGCUGCACGGCUGUCGUCAGCUCGUGUCGUGAGAUGUUGGGUUAAGUCCCGCAACGAGCGCAACCCUCGUCCUUAUUUGCCAGCACAUCAUGGUGGGAACUAUAAGGAGACUGCCGGUGAUAAACCGGAGGAAGGCGGGGACGACGUCAAGUCAUCAUGGCCCUUACGACCAGGGCUACACACGUGCUACAAUGGGAAGGACAAAGGGUUGCUAAGCCGCGAGGUGGUGCUAAUCUCAUAAACCUUUUCGUAGUCCGGAUCGGAGUCUGCAACUCGACUCCGUGAAGUCGGAAUCGCUAGUAAUCGUGGAUCAGAACGCCACGGUGAAUACGUUCCCGGGUCU